RNAcentral lists this long non-coding RNA (3079 nucleotides) under Sus scrofa (pig). RNAcentral describes it as "lncRNA (ENSSSCG00035042852.1)". Lineage: Eukaryota; Metazoa; Chordata; Mammalia; Artiodactyla; Suidae. The record is from RNAcentral.
AGACUCCGGAGAGCGAUCUCCUCUGAGCCCACCGGCGUCAUAAACCUGAGUUCUCCAACUCUCCGAGUGCUCGCUUGGUUUCUCGCCGGGUCAAAGAGCUGAUCCACUGCAGCCACAGAGCUGCUGGAGCUGGGACACGACAGCCACAGGGCUGUCGCCAGAACUGAUACGCUGCGGCCCAGGGCUUCUGGGCAGCUGCCAUAACACUGCCACGAGCAGAGGAAAGAGAAGUUGGGCCACGAGCAGGAAAAAGUGCAACUACAGACGGCGGAGACGGUAGCGUUGCACUCGACGGAAUCGCAACCAAACAGUGGCUACACCUUUUUGGAAUCCUGGCAGGUGUGUGAAACUGGCAUGGAAGAAGACCAACCGGGACACGCGCCUUCCGACGAAUGAACUGGGAGCCUGGGGUCUGUACAAUGCUCCAUUUUAUAAGCCAGGCUUCCCCUGACAGGUGAAAACUACAAAAAUUAGAACAGGGCCCACACACCCCAUUCCAGGUCUUACUUGACAUGGCCUUUAAGGUCUCAGGGAAGAGGCUUGUAAGUAUUGAGGGAAAUUUUUUCCGACCCUAAAGGAACAAAGUCAUCCUCUAGGAACUAGCCCGUGCCUUUGAGAUGCAAAUGUCUUACCUGACCUUCUGAAAUCCUUCUCUCACCAUCUUUUUGAAAUACAAAUUUCAGGAAAAGGGUCUAAGUUGGAAGUUGAAUUCUCAGGGACAAAGAAGUCCUAUGUCUUGUUCAUAAGCAUUAUUAAAAGGGGGGGUUAGCCAUCUAGACAGGUGACAAUGAUUUAUUCCAUCUGCCAGAAACCCAGUUUGAACCCAGUGUCUCUUGUAACUGACAGGUUUUAUACAGAUGUACCUUAUUCAUGGCUGAAACUUCGAAAUGGGAAAUAUGAGGUCUCUGUUUUGCUUGUUUGUACAUGUCUUUGUGUGUGUUAUGUAUGUAUGGCAUUGCCAAAAUUAAUUCUUAAAAGAGCUCAACUUAAUUGGCUUAAAGGAAAUUAAGCACUUACAUAAAUUCUCAAAAUACAUAAGGUAAAUUUUUGGUUCAUGUGAACUGGAAAAUACUCAGUAUUUGAUAUUCAUUUUUAGAUGUUAAUAUUGAAAUUAAAAUUUGUUUUUUUACUUUUAUUUUUUUGUUUUAGGGCCACACCCGAGGCAUAUGGAAUUUCCCUGGUGUGGGGUCUAAAUCAGCUGUGGCUGCUGGCCUAAACCACAGCCACAGUAACAUGGGAUCUGAGCCUGCAACCUACACCACGGCUCACAGCAGUGCUGGAUCCUUAACCCACUGAGUAAGGCCAGGGAUCGAACCUGCAUCCUCAUGGAUCCUAGUCGGGUUCAUUAACUGCUGAGCCACGAAGGGAACUCCAAGAUUAAAUUUUGUUGAUCUAAUUAAUAUAGACAUGUCUUUAGAGUCAUCGACAUAAGUAUAAUACCUAUUGUACCUAAGUUUGAUAAAAGUCAAAUGAGAUACUGAGACUUCAGUUACAAAACAGAGAAACUGAAGUCAUUUAAGACUAUUAAUCGGUAUGUUCAGUGCCAUCCUGAGAUGUUCAACAAGAAAGCGCAUGCCUUUAGAAACGAUAAAAGACAGUCCAUGGUUGCUUCAGAAUGUAGGAAAAGUGCCGGAGGCCAGCUCCAGCAACCAGGUCUGGCAGCCAGGGUGUAUACAUCCCGAUGGGAGAUGAGAUGGGAGAUGAACGGCGUUGGCUUUUGCAACGGAGACAGCCUCUUUGUCCCUUCUCUCAGGGCGCUGGACUGCUCAAAUUUUAUUAGCGUAAGUGGUUGAUUAUAUAGGCAGUUUUUUUAUUACAGAUUACAUCAUAGUGUUAAAAGUACAUUGGUUAACUAUUAGGCUUUGUUUUUUGAUCACAUGGUACAGUAGCAAUACAUCAUGUUUUAAAAUCUUCAGUUUAACUAAAUUUAGUGAGUACAAUUCAAGGACAAACAGGCACAGGAUAUCAUAUGGGAAAGAGGAGACCCAGUACAAACCAUCUCAUGGCCAGCCAGUUCCCACAAGCUGAAGAAAUUACAGACACAAAAAACUCAUCUUCAGACUAGUGUCUAUCUUUAAAGUGUCCUUGGCAGGGAAACAGUAUGAGAAAAUACAAAUCAACUUAGCUGCUACCGCUAAAAUUUUCUAAAGUCAAGGACAAAACUCACAGCUGGGUUUCUUUUGAUGAAGAAUAAUAUAUGUCUAACUUCUAUAGACCUCAUUAAAAUCCUAACUUUAAAGUUUACUGUAUAACUAGUUAGUAGAUAAACACGAUGUUUUAAUUAAGUUGGAUUUAAAUAGGGGAAAGUCCUUCAGGAUGAAAUUCUUAUAUUAUUUUUGUAAUUUUGUUGAAGCACAAACCAAAUCACCACAGGAAAAUAAGAAUGGUAAAUAAGAAUAAUAAGCAAAUAAUCAGGAAAGACUGAGGAAAAACUGAAUAACAAAACAACAGGAAAGACUAGGUCACCGAGAAACAAUGCAUGUUCCCCGGUGCAAACAUGGAAAUUGUUUCCCAGGAAAGCCCCAAUUCUUCCCCAUCAACAUCAAAAUGAGAGCCCUGUAACCUGAAGCCUGCCCUCGGCUUGUACUGUUCAGGCAGGCUUCUAUCCUGACCAGAAGCCCACCUUCGGCAUGUACCCUUCAGGUGAGCUCCCUUCCUUGGUUAGGAACCUGCCUUCAGGUUUUUCUGCCGACAGGCAAGGUCCUUUUUUCUGAUUAGGAACCUGCCCUCGGUUUUGCAAGUACAGGCAAGCUCCCUUCCUUGGCUUCUUGUAUCUUCUCGGCUCCCCACAGAAAAAAGUAAGCUAGUUGCAAAACUUGAAUUUGAAUUCGGUCUCUCUGUUAAAACAAGAUUUUUUUGAAAUGCUGCUUUUGAUAACAGAUUAUAUGAAUUUCUUUGCCUUGAAUUUGUAUUUGCUUUUGAAAUCCUUUGUUACGUUGGUUGAAUGAAUAAGUAAUGUGAAACAAUAAUCUAUGAUUCUAUCUGACCAGGUAUUUUUAAACUUUUCCUUGUGUGUUUUUCUUUUCUUUCUUUCUUUCUUUUUUUUUUUUUUUACAAACUAAGUGUAAAUUACAGGGGA